Molecule: long non-coding RNA, 212 nt
Organism: Varanus komodoensis (Komodo dragon)
Lineage: Eukaryota; Metazoa; Chordata; Lepidosauria; Squamata; Varanidae
Exons: 3
Source: RefSeq, a predicted model, not a curated record
UCCGCCCCCCCUCCUCCAGCACAGGAAAGACCAAAGGUGGCCUAUAUAGACUUCUUCCUCUCCAUUUUAUCCCCACAACCACCCUGUGAGGGGCCUCCAGAUGUUUUGUACUACAGCACCCAGCAUUCGUAACCAUUGGUCAUGCAGUCUGGCACUGAUGAGAAUUGAACUACAAAACUUUUGGUGAGUACUGCAUUGGAGAAGGCCAGGAU